AUUUCUGAAGAUAGUUUACAUUUCACUGAUGCAGCCUCUUUUUUUGUGCUGUUGAUAAUACUGUGAGCAUGCGGUUUAUGAAAACUGGGAAACACGUACGAAUCGGAGUGGACUACUCAACUGCUACCUGGUUAAACACGGAGCUAGGGUAUAGAGCAUACUUGGUUUGGUUAUCUGAAUAUGAAUGGCGGUGGGCUUCACACUUCAACCACUUCAGUUAAACUCCAGUUUUUAAAAAAUAUAUUUGAUCAACCUAUGCGCAUGGAGAGAAGUAAUCAAUUCAUUGUCCAAGAUUAUAUUCAAAGGUCAUGUCCACUUUGACUCAAGUUUGAGCAAGCUCCGAGAGUUACGAUGGAGAGUCCAAGGGAUAUCAACGUUGAUAACCGCAACAUUUUUUUUUUCAUUCUGAUAUUGACGGUUCUUUAUCAUCAGUGAUCCAGGAAGCUACAUUAUUCUAUGAGACCAUUGUCUAUACGUACAUACGCAUAUGGUGAAGAUUAAAGGGUUUAUCUUGGAUUCACGUGUCUGUUCAUUGGUUAAAGAAGCUGGUUCAUUGGUUAAUGAAGUUAAAUGGAAUACUUUCGGUAGUAGUUUUACUGUCUUAGACUCGGGUUUAGGCUCUGAGAUGGGUGAUCCUUCUCAAAGGACUCUAUGAGGAAAAGAAGUAAAACCAACUCAAAACUCAAUCUCUACCUCUGGAGCUGUCAACUUGCGGAAAGUCAACAGGGUGAGAGGCCAUUGGAGUGCAAGCAAAAGUGACUAAACUUCUUAUGCGGUAAAGAAGAUUGGCUUAUUUAUGAAGAAGAGUCAGGUCUUUGUGUUUAGUAAGUUGCAUAGUCAGGUGUGGUUUGUAUGAAAUAUCAAGCUUUGAAGGGUGAUUUAAAUUUUUUUGGUUAUUUGGUUUGGGUCUAAUUUUUCAUUUGUAAUGUGUUUCUGAUCAUGAACCGGUUUGAGCAAAUACUAUUUGUUCUC
Molecule: long non-coding RNA, 972 nt
Organism: Brassica oleracea var. oleracea
Lineage: Eukaryota; Viridiplantae; Streptophyta; Magnoliopsida; Brassicales; Brassicaceae
Exons: 4
Source: RefSeq, a predicted model, not a curated record